AUAUCACUCUCCUGAGGAUAACACAGAGAGAUAAAGAACAGAUGUUGUUUGAAUGCCAGCAAAGACCGGGACCAUAUGCUGCCAGACUUUGUCUGCAAUG
Chelonoidis abingdonii (Abingdon island giant tortoise) is the source of this 100-nucleotide non-coding RNA. The record is from RefSeq and is a predicted model, not a curated record. Lineage: Eukaryota; Metazoa; Chordata; Testudines; Testudinidae.